RNAcentral lists this ribosomal RNA (468 nucleotides) under uncultured bacterium. Its description in RNAcentral is "partial 16S ribosomal RNA". It matches the Rfam family "Bacterial small subunit ribosomal RNA", at positions 28 to 507 of the family's 1533-position model. The record is from RNAcentral.
GACGAACGCUGGCGGCGUGCUUAACACAUGCAAGUCGAACGGAAAGGCCCUGCUUUUGUGGGGUGCUCGAGUGACGAACGGGUGAGUAACACGUGAGUAACCUGCCCUUGACUUUGGGAUAACUUCAGGAAACUGGGGCUAAUACCGGAUAGGAGCUCCUGCUGCAUGGUGGGGGUUGGAAAGUUUCGGCGGUUGGGGAUGGACUCGCGGCUUAUCAGCUUGUUGGUGGGGUAGUGGCUUACCAAGGCUUUGACGGGUAGCCGGCCUGAGAGGGUGACCGGCCACAUUGGGACUGAGGUACGGCCCAGACUCCUACGGGAGGCAGCAGUGGGGAAUAUUGCACAAUGGGCGGAAGCCUGAUGCAGCAACGCCGCGUGCGGGAUGACGGCCUUCGGGUUGUAAACCGCUUUCGCCUGUGACGAAGCGUGAGUGACGGUAAUGGGUAAAGAAGCACCGGCUAACUACGUG